Molecule: long non-coding RNA, 999 nt
Organism: Pleuronectes platessa (European plaice)
Lineage: Eukaryota; Metazoa; Chordata; Actinopteri; Pleuronectiformes; Pleuronectidae
Exons: 3
Source: RefSeq, a predicted model, not a curated record
UUCAGGAGGGGGGCAACAAGAUGUGUGGUGAUGAUUUCUGAGAGGAGGAGGAGGACUUGACGCGUUUACAGGACACGAACACGUUUACAGGACGCACACGGUGUACAGUAGUGGAGCCAGGGCCGAGCAGAAGUGCUGAGUUCAGAGGUCAGGUGCGGAAUCAACCAGAUUUUUCUAUGAUGGAUCCCUCAGAUCCUUCACUUCUAAGGGUGUUUGUUCCCGUGUUUUGGCUUCAAAGAUGUGGCCUACAUCAGACGGGGGCCUUGAAACGUGCCGCUGUCACCGUGUGUCUGUGAUUCACUCGGGCUGAUCGAGAUGAAUGAGGAAAGAAUGGGAGCUGGCGUGGCCACACCAGGUGAUGCAGCUGGAUGUAUCAUCUCAUCGUGGUUAGACGUGGGUCCCACGACCAUGGUCUGCUUUCCAAAGAGUCAACCAACCUGGGUCCAGACACAAGCUGGGACCCAAUUCAAUGGACGAUUUCCUAUCACAUCAACCAGCUUGUCCUGCUGUUGCAUUGUCAGCUACUUUGAGCGGCUGCAACCAGAAGUUGAUUGUUACCAAGGUCAACCACCAUGAAUCCUGAGAUGGUUUUGCCCGAGAGGGAUCCACCUGUUGAAUCCUUCAGCGCUCUGGAAUGGAAGGAUAGAUUUGUUGGCCACAUUUGAAGGGGACUUCGGACUGGGACCACCUAGUUCGAUGCAAUGGCAGGCCCCCGAAUUGAGAUACAGCUACUAGCAUGGCUGUUUUCUUCUGUCAGAGAAUUUUUAGUUUGUUGUUUUUUCUGGUGAAAUACUGAGAUGUAGAACAGUAGUGUAUCUGGACUUGGAUUUAAUGACCAGAACCUUUUUCCUGUUGAAUUUGGACAUCUGCAAAAGUCCAUAUGUCCAGAUGGUGCACAGAUAAGGACAUACAACUCUAACCAGUGACUAAUAUCUGUGUCUUGACAUUAGACGCAGCCGGAAGCUAUGCACAUAAACGUGAAUUAGGGAAUCGAGCCUG